CAGAUCCUCAGGGAUCAUCUCUAUAGAUUGUAACUAGAGAAGUUUCUCUAACUGUGUAGAGUACCAGAAACCAGGAGGACAAGACAUAGCACUCUUUCCUGCGCGUGAAGUUGGCUCAUGGUGUUGCUUUUCUGCAACUACCUUUUACUGCUAAUGAUUGUUCUUUCUCCUCCUUUAGGAGCAUUAGAGGGAGAGAGUGCAGUUUGAGUGGU
Molecule: small nucleolar RNA, 212 nt
Organism: Nannospalax galili (Upper Galilee mountains blind mole rat)
Lineage: Eukaryota; Metazoa; Chordata; Mammalia; Rodentia; Spalacidae
Gene: U3
Rfam family: Small nucleolar RNA U3
About the family: Small nucleolar RNAs (snoRNAs) are involved in the processing and modification of rRNA in the nucleolus.
Source: Ensembl